GGGAAUAGCUCAGUUGGUAGAGCACGACCUUGCCAAGGUCGGGGGCGCGAGUUCGAGUCUCGUUUCCC
RNAcentral lists this transfer RNA (68 nucleotides) under Escherichia coli. RNAcentral's name for it is "tRNA-Gly". It matches the Rfam family "tRNA". From Rfam's summary of the family: Transfer RNA (tRNA) molecules are approximately 80 nucleotides in length. Their secondary structure includes four short double-helical elements and three loops (D, anti-codon, and T loops). Further hydrogen bonds mediate the characteristic L-shaped molecular structure. tRNAs have two regions of fundamental functional importance: the anti-codon, which is responsible for specific mRNA codon recognition, and the 3' end, to which the tRNAs corresponding amino acid is attached (by aminoacyl-tRNA synthetases). tRNAs cope with the degeneracy of the genetic code in two manners: having more than one tRNA (with a specific anti-codon) for a particular amino acid; and 'wobble' base-pairing, i.e. permitting non-standard base-pairing at the 3rd anti-codon position. The record is from RNAcentral. Lineage: Bacteria; Pseudomonadati; Pseudomonadota; Gammaproteobacteria; Enterobacterales; Enterobacteriaceae.